RNAcentral lists this ribosomal RNA (738 nucleotides) under Pseudomonas sp. MS8_1H6. RNAcentral describes it as "bacterial SSU rRNA". It matches the Rfam family "Bacterial small subunit ribosomal RNA", at positions 87 to 1280 of the family's 1533-position model. Lineage: Bacteria; Pseudomonadati; Pseudomonadota; Gammaproteobacteria; Pseudomonadales; Pseudomonadaceae. The record is from RNAcentral.
GUGAGUAAGUGAGAAUAGCAGGAAGGUGACGAGAGCAGUGAGGAAUAUUGGACAAUGGGUGAGAGCCUGAUCCAGCCAUCCCGCGUGAAGGACGACGGCCCUAUGGGUUGUAAACUUCUUUUGUAUAGGGAUAAACCUACCCUCGUGAGGGUAGCUGAAGGUACUAUACGAAUAAGCACCGGCUAACUCCGUGCCAGCAGCCGCGGUAAUACGGAGGGUGCAAGCGUUAUCCGGAUUUAUUGGGUUUAAAGGGUCCGUAGGCGGAUCUGUAAGUCAGUGGUGAAAUCUCACAGCUUAACUGUGAAACUGCCAUUGAUACUGCAGGUCUUGAGUGUUGUUGAAGUAGCUGGAAUAAGUAGUGUAGCGGUGAAAUGCAUAGAUAUUACUUAGAACACCAAUUGCGAAGGCAGGUUACUAAGCAACAACUGACGCUGAUGGACGAAAGCGUGGGGAGCGAACAGGUAGAUACCCUGGUAGUCCACGCCGUAAACGAUGCUAACUCGUUUUUGGUUUUUCGGAAUCAGAGACUAACGAAAGUGAUAAUUACCACCGGGGAGUACUUCGCAAGAAUGAAACUCAAAGGAAUGACGGGGGCCCGCACAACGGGAUAUGUGGUUUAAUUCAUGACCGAGGACCUACUUAAUGGGAAAGUAAAAAAUUUUCUCGACUUUUUCAGCUGCAGUCGUCAGCUCGCCAGGUAUCUGCACACCUAUGCAUAUGGGACUUAAGAAACCGUGA